GACGAACGCUGGCGGCGUGCUUAACACAUGCAAGUCGAACGGAAAGGCCCUGCUUUGGUGGGGUGCUCGAGUGGCGAACGGGUGAGUAACACGUGAGUAACCUGCCCUUGACUUUGGGAUAACUUCAGGAAACUGGGGCUAAUACCGGAUAGGAGCUCCUGCUGCAUGGUGGGGGUUGGAAAGUUUCGGCGGUUGGGGAUGGACUCGCGGCUUAUCAGCUUGUUGGUGGGGUAGUGGCUUACCAAGGCUUUGACGGGUAGCCGGCCUGAGAGGGUGACCGGCCACAUUGGGACUGAGAUACGGACCAGACUCCUACGGGAGGCAGCAGUGGGGAAUAUUGCACAAUGGGCGGAAGCCUGAUGCAGCAACGCCGCGUGCGGGAUGACGGCCUUCGGGUUGUAACCCGCUUUCGCCUGUGACGAAGCGUGAGUGACGGUAAUGGGUAAAGAAGCACCGGCUAACUCCGUG
RNAcentral lists this ribosomal RNA (468 nucleotides) under uncultured bacterium. Its description in RNAcentral is "partial 16S ribosomal RNA". It matches the Rfam family "Bacterial small subunit ribosomal RNA", at positions 28 to 507 of the family's 1533-position model. The record is from RNAcentral.